UACGUAGGGGGCAACCGUUGUCCGGAUUUAUUGGGCGUAAAGAGCGUGUAGGCGGCCAUACAGGUCAGCUGUGAAAACUCGAGGCUCAACCUCGAGACGUCGGUUGAAACCGUAUGGCUAGAGUCCGGAAGAGGAGAGUGGAAUUCCCGGUGUAGCGGUGAAAUGCGCAGAUAUCGGGAAGAACACCCGUGGCGAAGGCGGCUCUCUGGGACGGUACUGACGCUGAGACGCGAAAGCGUGGGAGCGAACAGG
Molecule: ribosomal RNA, 252 nt
Filed under: uncultured bacterium
Lineage: Bacteria
Description: partial 16S ribosomal RNA
Rfam family: Bacterial small subunit ribosomal RNA
Source: RNAcentral